RNAcentral lists this long non-coding RNA (450 nucleotides) under Rhinopithecus bieti (black snub-nosed monkey). RNAcentral's name for it is "lncRNA (ENSRBIG00000046195.1)". The record is from RNAcentral. Lineage: Eukaryota; Metazoa; Chordata; Mammalia; Primates; Cercopithecidae.
GUCUGGGGUCUGGGACCCGGGCUCAGCCUGUUUUAGCUGCUGCUCAGGUGCUUUCUGCAGAGGGGGCGCGUCACCCGCUCCACCCAUGGGGGAGAGCGGGGGACGUGUCCCCCGGGACGGGCUCCUGCAAGGGGCACCUUGGCAGGGCGGACGUUGGAAGCUGAAUGCGGAGGAAGCAUCUGGAAGCGGAGAUCUUGGCCUCAGCUCUCCUGUCCUGGGGACGCUCUGCAAGUCACCGGCAGGCAUUUGGAUUCACUGUUCAAGUCAGCCGUCCUCUCCAGUGAACUGGACGAGAAGGGCCAGGGUCGAGGAGUACAAAACAUGGUAGCUGAAGGUCUGCCGACUUGGCAGGGUUAGUGGGCAUCCUUCUCUAAGGAGGGCUGUGAGCACAGGCAAAUGUCUAACACAAUUAUAUUUUCCCUUCCUUCCUCCCUCCCUCCCUCCCUCCCU